UUUUUGAAGGGAAUUUUGGGUUGUGUUUGACAGGAUUUUUUCCCUGCGCAGGAAGUAAUGAUCGACACUCGUAGGCGGAUCCUGGCUUUAAUUCAGCCACGUCAAUUUCUAAUUCGGUCGAUGAAGCAUAAUCAGCUUCAUAUAUUGGGUCUGUCGCGUCGUAGUCGACAAACGCUACUUUUUCUUUCUUAGCCUUAUUGUGUCUAAAUUUUU
Molecule: long non-coding RNA, 213 nt
Filed under: Lathyrus oleraceus (garden pea)
Lineage: Eukaryota; Viridiplantae; Streptophyta; Magnoliopsida; Fabales; Fabaceae
Description: Pisum sativum (pea) long non-coding RNA (PSAT_LNC022847)
Source: RNAcentral